GAUUAACGCUGACGGCGUGCAUAACACAUGCAAGUCGAACGAUGAAACUUUAAUGAACCCUUCGGGGAGAAUUAAAGCGGAUUAGUGGCGAACGGGUGAGUAACGCGUGAGUAACCUGCCUUACACAAGGGGAUAGCCUUUGGAAACGAAGAAUAAUACCCUAUAAAACCAUAAAAGCACAUGCAAUUAUGGUCAAAGUGAUAGCGGUGUAAGAUGGACUUGCGUCUGAUUAGCUAGUUGGUGAGAUAAAAGCCCACCAAGGCAACGAUCAGUAGCCGGCUUGAGAGAGUGUACGGCCACAUUGGGACUGAGACACGGCCCAGACUCCUACGGGAGGCAGCAGUGGGGAAUUUUGCACAAUGGGGGAAACCCUGAUGCAGCGACGCCGCGUGAUUUAGAAGGCCUUCGGGUUGUAAAAAUCUUUUGUAUAGGAAGAAAAUGAGAGUACUAUACGAAUAAGGUCCGGCUAAUUACGUG
RNAcentral lists this ribosomal RNA (477 nucleotides) under uncultured bacterium. RNAcentral describes it as "partial 16S ribosomal RNA". It matches the Rfam family "Bacterial small subunit ribosomal RNA", at positions 28 to 507 of the family's 1533-position model. The record is from RNAcentral.